RNAcentral lists this ribosomal RNA (2718 nucleotides) under Symbiodinium sp. Mp. Its description in RNAcentral is "partial Bacterial large subunit ribosomal RNA". It matches the Rfam family "Bacterial large subunit ribosomal RNA". The record is from RNAcentral. Lineage: Eukaryota; Dinophyceae; Suessiales; Symbiodiniaceae.
UAAGAGCACAUGGCGGAUGUCUUGGCGUCAAGAGGCGAUGAAGGACGUGGGAACCUGCGAAAAGUUCAGGGGAGCCGGUAACCAGGCUGUGAUCCUGAAAUGUCCGAAUGGGGAAACCCGGCCGUAAGGUCACUCUUACCUGAAUGCAUAGGGUAAGAGAGCGAACCUGGGGAACUGAAACAUCUAAGUACCCAGAGGAAAGGAAAUCAACCGAGACUCCGUGAGUAGCGGCGAGCGAAAGCGGAUUGCGACUUAAGUCAGUGAACGCGUUGGAAAGCGCGGCCAAAGAAGGUGAUAGCCCUGUAGUUGGAUGAUGUCGCUCAGCCCUAGAGUAGCGUCGGUGUCGUGAAACCCGGCGUGAACAUGGGGGGUCCACCCUCCAAGGCUAAGUACUACUUGACGACCGAUAGUUAACCAGUAAGGCGACUGAAUGAUGAAAACUACCCCUGCUAGGGGUGUGAAAGAGUAGCUGAAACCAUGUGCUUACACAGCGGUCAGAGCCCUUCGGGGUGAUGGCGUGCCUUUUGCAUAAUGACCCGGCGAGUUACUCUCAUUGGCGAGGUUAAGGCCUAGCGGGCCGAAGCCGAAGCGAAAGCGAGUCUGAAAUAGGCGUUGAGUCGAUGGGAGUAGACGCGAAACCUUGUGAUCUACCCAUGGGCAGGCUGAAGGCCGGGUAAAACCGGCUGGAGGGCCGAACGCACCAACGUUGAAAAGUUGGGCGAUGACCUGUGGGGAGGACUAAAAGUGUAAUCAAACUGGGAGAUAGCUCGUUCUCUCCGAAAUAUUUUUAGGAAUAGCCUCUUGCGGCAACUGUUGGGGGUAGAGCCACUGGAUACGGAUGGGGCCCUCGGGUACCCACUGUAACCAAACUCCGAAUACCAACAGCCAAGGCAAGGGAGUCAGCCCACGAGUGACAAUAUCCGUGGACAAAAGGGAAACAUCCCAGACCGCCAGCUAAGGUCCCUGAACAUUGCUUAGUUCUAAAGGAAGUCGAAGCGCAAAGACAGCCAGGAUGUUGGCUUAGAAGCAGCCAUCAUUUAAAGAAAGCGUAACAGCUCACUGGUCAAGCGUUCCUGCGCGGAAAAUGUAACGGGGCUUAAGUGAUACACCGAAGCUGCGGACUCAGAAAUGAGUGGUAGCGGAGCGUUCUGUAAGUCUGUGAAGGUGGCCUGCGAGGGCUGCUGGAGAUAUCAGAAGUGAGAAUGCUGACAUGAGUAGCGAUAAAGAGGGUGAGAGGCCCUCUCGCCGAAAGUCCAAGGGUUCCUGCGCAAUGCUAAUCAGCGCAGGGUAAGCCGGCCCCUAAGGCGAGGCCGAAAGGCGUAGUCGAUGGGAACCAGGUUAAUAUUCCUGGGCCAGCGGGUAGUGACGGAUUGCGGACGUUGUACACUCUUACUGGAUUGAGUGUGCAGCCAAGCCGUCCCUGGAAAUAGCUCCCGCAUGAGACCGUACCCCAAACCGACACAGGUGGUCAGGUAGAGAAUACCAAGGCGCUUGAGAGAACUCGGGUAAAGGAACUAGGCAAAAUGGUGCCGUAACUUCGGGAGAAGGCACGCUGGUGGUAAGUGAUACCCCUGCGGGUGGAGCUGAAGCCAGUCGAAGAUACCAGGCCCCUGCGACUGUUUAUUAAAAACACAGCACUGUGCAAACACGAAAGUGGACGUAUACGGUGUGACGCCUGCCCGGUGCCGGAAGGUUAAUUGAUGGGGUUAGCGCUUGCGCGAAGCUCUUGAUCGAAGCCCCGGUAAACGGCGGCCGUAACAAUAACGGUCCUAAGGUAGCGAAAUUCCUUGUCGGGUAAGUUCCGACCUGCACGAAUGGCGUAACGAUGGGGGCGCUGUCUCUACCCGAGACUCAGUGAAAUUGAAAUCGCCGUGAAGAUGCGGUGUAUCCGCGGCUAGACGGAAAGACCCCGUGAACCUUUACUAUAGCUUCACAGUGAACUUUGAGCAUGUUUGUGUAGGAUAGCUGGGAGGCUUUGAAGUGGGAACGCCAGUUCUCAUGGAGCCAACCUUGAAAUACCAGCCUGACAUGUUUGAGGUUCUAACUUGGUCCCCUUAUCGGGGAUGAGGACACUGUGUGGUGGGUAGUUUGACUGGGGCGGUCUCCUCCCAAAGCGUAACGGAGGAGCACAAAGGUGGGCUAAGCAUGGUCGGACAUCAUGCGGUUAGUGUAAUGGCACAAGCCCGCUUAACUGCGAGACAGACACGUCGAGCAGGUACGAAAGUAGGUCAUAGUGAUCCGGUGGUUCUGUAUGGAAGGGCCAUCGCUCAACGGAUAAAAGGUACUCCGGGGAUAACAGGCUGAUACCGCCCAAGAGUUCACAUCGACGGCGGUGUUUGGCACCUCGAUGUCGGCUCAUCACAUCCUGGGGCUGAAGCCGGUCCCAAGGGUAUGGCUGUUCGCCAUUUAAAGUGGUACGCGAGCUGGGUUUAGAACGUCGUGAGACAGUUCGGUCCCUAUCUGCCGUGGGUGUUGGAUACUUGAGAGGAGCUGUCCCUAGUACGAGAGGACCGGGAUGGACGUACCUCUGGUGGACCUGUUGUUACGCCAGUAGCAUAGCAGGGUAGCUAAGUACGGAACGGAUAACCGCUGAAAGCAUCUAAGCGGGAAGCCCCCCUCAAAACCAGGUAUCCCUAUCAGAGCCGUGGAAGACCACCACGUUGAUAGGCUGGAAGUGGAAGCGCAGCAAUGCGUGAAGCGGACCAGUACUAAUUGCUC